GGGCCCGCACAAGCGGUGGAGCAUGUGGUUUAAUUCGAAGCAACGCGAAGAACCUUACCAAGGCUUGACAUCCCGCUGAUCGGCAUAGAGAUAUGCUUUCUCUUCGGAGCAGCGGAGACAGGUGGUGCAUGGUUGUCGUCAGCUCGUGUCGUGAGAUGUUGGGUUAAGUCCCGCAACGAGCGCAACCCUUAUUCUUAGUAGCCAGCAGGUUAAGCUGGGCACUCUAGGAAGACUGCCGUGGACAACACGGAGGAAGGUGGGGAUGACGUCAAAUCAUCAUGCCCCUUAUGUCUUGGGCAACACACGUGCUACAAUGGCCGGAACAAAGGGAAGCAAGCAUGCGAAUGUAAGCAAACCCCAAAAAUCCGGUCUCAGUUCGGAUCGCAGUCUGCAACUCGACUGCGUGAAGCUGGAAUCGCUAGUAAUCGCGAAUCAGCAUGUCGCGGUGAAUACGUUCCCGGGCCUU
Molecule: ribosomal RNA, 466 nt
Filed under: uncultured bacterium
Lineage: Bacteria
Description: bacterial SSU rRNA
Rfam family: Bacterial small subunit ribosomal RNA
Source: RNAcentral